UACGAGGGGUGCAAGCGUUGCUCGGAAUUAUUGGGCGUAAAGGGUAGGUAGGUGGUCUCAUUUGUCUGGGGUGAAAGCCUUGAGCUUAACUCAAGAAGUGCCCCGGAAACGGUGAGACUGGAGUCCUGGAGAGGGUCGUGGAAUUCCCGGUGUAGCGGUGAAAUGCGUAGAGAUCGGGAAGAACACCAGUGGCGAAGGCGGCCGGCUGGGGGUGUCCUGACGCUGAGGCGCGAGAGCGUGGGGAGCAAACCGG
RNAcentral lists this ribosomal RNA (253 nucleotides) under uncultured bacterium. Its description in RNAcentral is "partial 16S ribosomal RNA". It matches the Rfam family "Bacterial small subunit ribosomal RNA", at positions 524 to 776 of the family's 1533-position model. The record is from RNAcentral.